UACGGGGGGGCAAGCGUUGUUCGGAAUUACUGGGCGUAAAGGGCUCGUCGGUGGCCCACUAAGUCCGACGUGAAAUCCCUCGGCUUAACCGGGGAACUGCGUCUGAUACUGGAUGGCUUGAGUUUGGGAGAGGGAUGCGGAAUUCCAGGUGUAGCGGUGAAAUGCGUAGAUAUCUGGAGGAACACCGGUGGCGAAGGCGGCAUCCUGGACCGAUACUGACGCUGAGGAGCGAAAGCCAGGGGAGCAAACGGG
This 252-nucleotide ribosomal RNA is filed under the name uncultured bacterium. Its description in RNAcentral is "partial 16S ribosomal RNA". It matches the Rfam family "Bacterial small subunit ribosomal RNA", at positions 524 to 776 of the family's 1533-position model. The record is from RNAcentral.